UUUCCUGGAGGUGCCCAAAACCUGUCCUCUGCUGCGUGGUCAGGGCAUGCUGUGAACUGGGGCCUCAGUUUCCCCAUCUGUUUCUGGGACAGAAGGCUCUUCGGAUGGCCCGGGACUGUGGGUGCCCCUGGGGGAGGUCACCCUGGGGGCGCCGGCUGGCCCUGCCUGCCUCAGGGGAUGAGCCCUCGCAGCUGCUGGGGACCGACCCCGAGUCCCUCCACCUAAAAGGGACUUUACGGCAGGGAAGCAAGUGACCCAGAGGGCCGGGAAGCAAGAGGGGACAGCGGGGCCCGAGAGGAGCAGAGGGGUGGAGGCCAAGGGCGCCCGUGUCCCCCUGAGCCCAAGGCCAAGGCGGGGGGCUGGGGCCGGGGCCACCCAGCUCUGGGGCAAGGCUGGGCUCGCUGCCCCUUGUCCCUCAGGUUCAGCUGCCAGCCCUGGCCCCAGGGAGCCUUGGACUGACUCUGGGUCUGAGGCAGGCGCGGGGACCGGCGCCCCUCUUACCUGUGUGGGGAGCUCCCUGCCCCACAGCCAACCCAGGCCCCCCUCACUGUGGUGCUGGCUGCCCGGGGCCCACACCACCAUCCCCGGCUGGAGCGUUCUCCGUCCUCCUCAGGCGCCUCGCUGCCUCUGCCCCACUAAGUCCAACCCUGCAUCCUCCUGACCUGAGCCUUCCAUGCCUCCUGCCUGUCUCAGAGCAGAAAUAAAAGUUUCCACCGAGGCUCGGAGGCUCCACAGGGUCUGCAUCCCGCCCCAGGCUGCCCGCAUCUCUCUGACGCCACCGUGUGUCCCUUUCCCUCUCAUCUACAGCCACAGUGACCUCACCCCUGUGCCAGAAUGCACCAGCUAUGCUGGAGCCCCAGGGCCUUUGCACGUGUCCUGCCACGGCUCGCCUGGUGGUGCUCCUUGUUUGCCUGCAAGCUGCCCCCCAUUCCUCCUACCUCACACUGUUUUGCUUUCUUCUAGAACUUAUCACUCACCCGAGAAACUACCCCGCUUGUUUACCCUGUUUCUUGUCUGCCUCCUUCCAGUGGAAUGUUCCUGUCGCCAGGUGGGGGUUUGGUCUGUUUUGUUCACUGCUGCAUAUGCAGCCCCCAGCACGGGCCCCGCCUGGAGCAGGCGCCCUACAAACACUGGUGGGUGAGGCAGCAAUGGAUGAGGGGUGACCGGGGCCUUUGCAGAUGAGGGACUCAGGUCAGGGGACACCGGGGGCUGGGCUCACGUCGCCAAGUCUGCAGCAGAGCCAGGCCAGCAGGUCCCAGCCUGGGCAGUGGGGCUGGAGGUGAGAGGGCCCGGUGGCCCGGGAGAUCUGCUCGGGCUGGGCCGUGAGUGGUCAAAGGAGGUGUCAGCGCGGGCAGGCGGGGGGUCCACUUAUCCUGCUCAACGGGCCGCGGAGAUUCCGCGUGUGGGCAGGGCAGUGGCUGGGGCCCUGGUGCCGUCCGGCCGGGCCUGGAGGCCGACAUUCCAGGCGCUGUCCCUGCCCGUGGCCACAGGGACCCGCAUGGGCUGGGUGGGGCCGCGGGCCAGUCGGCCUUCCAGGCCGGGCUGCCUGACCACCACUUCCUGCCUGGCUCCUGGAGGUCCGAGGUGGGGGCGCCUCUGCCCACGCCCCCGCCCCCUCCUGCUUCUGCCUCUGCGGAUCCUGGCUGCACCCCCAGCAGCAGACCAGGCUCCGAGCCCCUCAGGCCCCUGCCACCUCCAUGGUGCAUCCCUGCUGGUGCCCAAGCCCCUGCCUGCUGCAGAAUUCCCCUACAGCCAAAGGGACUCACGGCUGCCAGUCCCAGGGAACCCACUGCUUCCAGAAAAAACCAGUCAAGCCCCACCCUGCCUCAGGGGGCUCCCCUCUGACUCCGUCUCUCCUCACACAUCCUCCCAGCCACUUUGGUCUUCUUGUUCGUGCAACAACUCACAUGUGUGCUUCCCCAGGGCCUUUGCACCGGCUGCUCUCGCUGCCUAGAACACUUGCCCCAGGUGUUAUGAGUGUCUCUCCCUGCUGAACCCCUUCCUGAAGUUAUUUCCUACUCCUACCCCCAGCUUCUUCCCUGCUUGAUCUCCUGGGCACUCAUCACCACCGCAUGUGCAGUAGUUUGGUUUUUUUUUUGUCUUAUUCUAUGAUUCACCCUCAGGGGUUUCUGUCUGUUUGGUUCUCUGAUGUGUCCCCAGUGCUUGGCAUGGAGUAUGUACUCUAAAAACGUUUGUCAAAUGACUGAAUGAGUAACUCCAUGAGUCGAUGGCAGAUAAGGACAUGGAUGUGACAGGCCACACAUCUGGUCUGAGGUUAAGCUGUGAGGGGAACCUGAGUCAGUCAGAUGCUGGACCUGAUGUCUUGGAAAUCGCAGGAGCCCGAGAUCAUACCGUGACCAGCAGACCCAGGGCGCUGUCCCGCGCCCGUCUGCUACCCACCCCCCCCAAGGCUGAUGCCUGCUUGCGGCAUUCCAGGCUCCGACCCAGGUUCUGCGAUUGCUAUUUUGAGCCUCCUGGCCCCAGGACUGUGUGUUCCCAGCAGGCGGCGUGGGCCAGCCCUGAGCCUGGGUGUGGCCGUCACCCUAGCUGAGGCCCGGCGACCUUAACCUGUUGGCUGCUGAGCCCGUUGUGUGGCCCUGCUCUCCACCCCACAUCCCCAUCCAGAGCCCUGCGGGGGUCCCCAGGAGUGGCAGGGGAUCAGCUGCCCUUGGGGGUGCCCACCUGUGUGUCCUGCCUCUGCCCCUCUGGCUGGGCAGCCCUGGGCAGGUCACUUAGAGCCCCGGUCUCGCUCACCCUCCCUCGUCUGUCCUGCGUGUUCCGGGGCUCUGUCCACCAUCUUCUUCCCCAGCACGGCCCCACCGGGCAGAGGCUGCUGUCUUCCCCGUGCAUGGCUACGUCCCUGGCAUGGUGCUCGGCGUACGGCCCGCACUCUGUCCAUGCUUGUCUAUCGAGCAGACGGUGAGUGGUCACUCCUCGGGGACUUGGGCCAGGGAGGGGCCGGGCCCAGGUGGUCCUGGAUGGAGCCCUGAGUCAGCCUGCCCCAGCGUCGUCCACCCUGCUGGGCACUGGGCCUUCUGGGACCGUGCUGGCCGCAGCCCUCAGGGCGCAGAGGGAAGAGACAGGUCCAGGAGCCCAGCGUGCUCGAAGGCUCACUCCGGGGUCCCUGGGUGCCCUGGGUUCUCUCAAGGUGGAGGCCAAAGAUGCCCCUCUGGUCCUCCUCCGAAGAUGGCUCCCCUCUCCCUCAACCCCAGUGUGCUUCUCAGAUACCUUGUGGGGGACCCAGCGGAGCCUCCAACUCAGCGACUCCUGACCCCCAAACUGGCCUCCCCCCCUCUGGGUCUCCCCAAGCCCAGGAGUCCUCCUGACGGCCCUCACUCGUCCCCGUGCCCGAGUGCUCUACAAGCCGUACCUUCCAGCCCCAGGCACUGGCCGGCUCCCACCUCCUCGGCCCAGCCUGGUCCUGGCCAGCAGCAUCACUGUCCGGACAGUGGCAGCCACUUCCUCCCUCUGCCACCCUGGAGCCUGUUCUCCACAGAAGGAUCCCUCAGAGCGCAAGUCAGGUCCUGUCCCCUGCUGCUGAGACCCUACCCAAGGUGCCCAUCUCUCUCGGGGGGAGUUCAAGUCCUCCUCCGCCCAUGAGGUCUGUGAGACCCUGGGGAUCCACCUCGCAGCAAAACCUCCACCGCUCUGAUGACCGAAGUUCCUCCCACUCUCUAGUCCCAAGGACUUCUUGUUACUCCUCCACAGGCUGGGCCUUCGAACCACAGGACCUUUGCAUGCACUGUGUCCUUGGCUUGGAGCCUCAGCCACUACAUAUCACACGGCUCCUCCUCGCCUCCUCGGGUCCACACUCCAUGUCAGCCCUGCAGCCUUCUCUGACUCAGGCUCUCCCUCUGUCCCUUGCUGGCCAUCCUCUGACCUAUUUUUCCUUCACAGAUGGAGGGGACAGCAGAAGUAAAGGCUUCCAGGAAUGUGUGCAGUGCAUGCGAGGGUGGGAGGUGAGCGCAGGAGGACAAGGGUGCUGGGAGGCCAGGCUGGGCCCAGGACGCGUGAGCAGGCAGGUGGCCUCGUGUUGGUGGCUGGCUACUUGUGCGACCCCAGGAAGCCCGCUUCUCUCUGGACCACGCGUCUUCGCCUGCAGCCCAGCUGGGCCCGAGCCUGACAGAUGGGGAAACCGAGCUUCCACAGCCCGGCCCAGAGGGUCAGGGCUCCAGCAACCACCCACACCUGAGCGGCUCUGUUCAACAUCAUGGCCAGGGAGGCCCUGGCCCCCGCACCCCUCCUCGCUGCACUGGUCUCUGUAGUCCUUGCUACUGCCUGAUGCACCGUGAUUUUCCUUACUGCUGAUCCUUCCAGGAUGGAGGCUCCAGUUUUGACUCUGUCAUGAUUGUGUCUCUUGCCUGCAACAGUGUAGUUGGCACAAGAAGGUGCUCCGGAAAGAACUGUGACGUGAGUGAAUAAUUUCCUCUUCUGUAGAAUGGUCUGCUGGUUGCUCUCAGCUGCGGGACGUUUGGGAGGCCCAGACCGACAUCCUGCGGGCCCCUGCUGCCCCCAGCCCCGGCCGGCCAGCUGUGUGCCUCUGGACCCGGGUACCCGGCCUCUCCAGGCCCUCCUGGCCACCUCCCCGCCGCCGUGCCACCGCCCCGACACCGCCUGCUGUUCUUGUUCUGCUUCAUGACGUCUCUGUCCCCCUCCUGGCCCCGCUUCUCCAGAACCAGCUUGUUUUUGUUUUCUGUUUUUACGGCUCCAUAAAUGAGUCACGGGCCUGAUUUGAUUUAA
Cavia porcellus (domestic guinea pig) is the source of this 4740-nucleotide RNA transcript. RefSeq lists it as uncharacterized. The transcript has 3 exons. NCBI's taxonomy places the organism in Eukaryota, Metazoa, Chordata, Mammalia, Rodentia, Caviidae. The record is from RefSeq and is a predicted model, not a curated record.